Molecule: long non-coding RNA, 1225 nt
Filed under: Marmota monax (woodchuck)
Lineage: Eukaryota; Metazoa; Chordata; Mammalia; Rodentia; Sciuridae
Source: RNAcentral
CGCGGGUGUGGGAGAGCACACUGUCCUCCUCUCCCCUCCACAGGGAGCUGCGGUCACGCAUGUGCUGCGCAUGCGCGCCCAGAGCGCACAGAGAGGGAGGCUGAGCCUGACUCACAGAGCAGUGCUCCUUCCAGCCACGAUAGUACAGUCUGGGACAAGGGCAGGAGCCCAGGCCUGCUCUAGGCCUGCUCUGUGACAUGACUGCCCUUCCAACUUGGGCUUGCUGCUGGGAAAACGCAGAACGGAGCAGAGGGCCACCAGGAUGGGGCUUCCCUCCAGUGAGGAACUUUGAAGCAGAGAUGUGCCUGGGGCAGUUCCAGGCCUGAGCUGGAGGACAGGCGAAGGCCGGUGAAGGGCCCUGCAGGGGCUGCAGCUGACUCCUGUAGACCGUGCUGUGGGGCUGUGGAUGGAAGGAAAAUACUGCUAGUGACACUGUGAAGAAUGUAAGAAGAAAAAGCAACCAGUGUGCAGACCAGUCACUGCCACGUAGUGAGCGACCGUGGUUCUAAGCAUGAGUUGUCUCACUUCUACCCCAAACUCACAAAGUAGGUGCUAUUAUCCUUAUCAUACAGCAGAAGAAACAGAAAGGUUAGGUGACUUAUGUGAGGUCACGCAGCUGAGGCCCCGGGUAAACCAACACACCUUUCCCCACUAUGCCUGAUGCUGAAAGGUCCUUUCCAAACACGACAGUGACAUAAGCAUCCCAGCCCAGGAGGAUGGAGGGAGGGGAGGCCAUGACCACGGCUUGACCCUGCUGGCUGCUGACUGGUCACCCAAACAGGACCCUUUCUGAAGUCCAGGCUGUCUGUAAAUGUCCCCUGUGCCUCUGCAGGCGAGAGGCAGGCAGUGCGGAGAGCAGCUGGGAGCCCUGGCCCACCUUAGUUAGCCCUGGGCCUGGGGCUGCAGCCGGCACCUGGGGCCUGGGUUCCCAUCCCAAUGGGACCUUCCCUCAGCCUGCUUCACGGCCCUGUGGGUCAGAGUCCUCAUAUCAUGGCAGAGCUCAGACAGCCUGGCCUGUGUCACUGCCCGGUCCCCCUGCCUGUGCUGUUACUCUCCACACUCGGACAUCAGCUUCUGUCCCUGGGGCCUCACACUGCCGCCUCCCCAACCCCUGCCCACACAGCCCCCUCCCCCUUCCCAGUGGAGUAGCUACUCCAAGAGCUCCAGGGUGUGCCCCACUGUUCAAAGGUCUCCUGUGUGUCCCCUGAAGUGUUCUUGACUUGCC